This 75-nucleotide transfer RNA is filed under the name Bacillota bacterium. RNAcentral's name for it is "Firmicutes bacterium (anaerobic digester metagenome) tRNA-Val". It matches the Rfam family "tRNA". Rfam says of the family: Transfer RNA (tRNA) molecules are approximately 80 nucleotides in length. Their secondary structure includes four short double-helical elements and three loops (D, anti-codon, and T loops). Lineage: Bacteria; Bacillati; Bacillota. The record is from RNAcentral.
GCGCCUGUAGCUCAGGGGGAGAGCGCCUGCUUGACGCGCAGGAGGUCGCAGGUUCGAUACCUGCCGGGCGCACCA